UGUAGCUCAGUGGUAGAGCCUUUGCCUAGCAUGCACAAAGUCCUGGGUUUUGAACCCCAGCA
This 62-nucleotide transfer RNA is filed under the name Ictidomys tridecemlineatus (thirteen-lined ground squirrel). RNAcentral's name for it is "Spermophilus tridecemlineatus (thirteen-lined ground squirrel) tRNA". Lineage: Eukaryota; Metazoa; Chordata; Mammalia; Rodentia; Sciuridae. The record is from Rfam by way of RNAcentral.